CAUCCAUACUUAUAGAUUCUCCUGGUAAAUUUGUUGCUGGUGUUCUCCCUAUCAGUUGUUUUGUGGGUCUAUGUUCAUACUUUGAUUCAUAGCAAAUUGUACAGUUUCUCGCAAAGUGUCUAAUUUGUUUUGACAUAUCCGGCCAAAAGUAUUGAUGUUUUAUUUCUAUUAAAUUGUUUUUCUCAUUUCUAUGUGCUCUAUUAUAUAUGUUUGUUAUAAUUUCUAUUUGUUUAUUUGUGUCUGUUAUGUCUGCUGUUAAAUUUUGUGCUAUAAAAAGUUUGUAACUUAAAAAAUUUUUAGUCAGUAGUGUUUUUAUUUUAAACAGUUGUUGUUCAUCUACUUUAAUUGCAUUAUUGUAACUUGGAACUAGAAUCUCCUUUAAAGUUUUUGUCAGGUAUUCAACUUGAUUUUUCGUCUGAGAUUUUCUUAUUAGCUUUAUGCUUUAUGGCGUUGACUACAGUUUGGAUAUGUUUGGAUAUGUUUAAUGUGUACUUCGGGUGUGAAGAAUAAAUUAACACGUCGUCGAUGUAUACAAACGCAAAUUUAUUUAUAUAAUCUCUCAGAAUAUCGUCAACACAUCUUUGGAAGAUAGAGGGUGCAUUUUUUAAUCCAAAAUGCCUGUAUUGUCACCAUUUACGUCUGGGAUAGGAUAUCUGUCUGAUGUCGAAUCAUUACAUCCGUGCAUGGAUCGGCAAACAUACGAAAGAAAAUUACGUGAUACGUCAAUCGUAUGCGGUGAUUGGCAUUAUGACAUACGAUAGCAAACGGAUCGUAAUGUAUUUUCAAUUCACAAUAGUUCUUAAAUUCCACGUUGCUUUGGAUCGUAUUUUUAGGUCACAAUAGAUGUGGAACUGUCAAAAUUGUUGAGAAAUUUUCAAUAAACUAAGAAAAGCUAUUUAAAUAUCAAAAUAGAUCCAACUUUGUUUUUUUAUUUGAGCUCUAGUGAAGGUUAUGGGGAUAAAAAAAUAGUGCAGAGAUAGCUAACAGAUUGUAGCAAUAGCAUGUAUCGUUGAAGAAAGCAUAGUAAUCUUAAAAAUACGGUGGAGAAUUUUAAGAUAUGGCAAGAGAGGAAGACAUCACCCCACAAAAGUGGAAGCUUUGCUACCGGUUGUGAGGCAUUACAUAAAAUCUGCAUAAAAUUUACAAUAAGUUACGAACCUCAAAAUUGCGAUUCUUAUAACACACAAGAAAUGGACACCGGGGUAGCGAACCGUCUCACCGCAAUCGUCCAAACGAUAAGAGACCAAAUAAUGUAUUCUUUAAUAAAUUUAAUUCAAAAAUGUACAUACAUAUAUGCCCUUUACCUUGUACAUAAUUUUAUUUUUAAUGUCAACUAAAAUACAAAAAUUUUGUUAAUAUAAA
Molecule: long non-coding RNA, 1362 nt
Organism: Bactrocera neohumeralis
Lineage: Eukaryota; Metazoa; Arthropoda; Insecta; Diptera; Tephritidae
Exons: 4
Source: RefSeq, a predicted model, not a curated record